CACAGUGCCUCGAGGUGCCAGUCAUUUAUGAAGUUUAUGAAAGCAGAAACAGGUCUCCAGAAUAUGAUUUUUGUCCAAGAUCUUCCCUUCAGAGAAGCUGGAAUGGUCAUUCAGCCACUCAAGGUCGUUCAGCAUCAGCAUUCUUGAAAAUAUCUCCAGUGAAGAUAUUCAGUGUCUUGCCUUUGUUGACACCUACAUCAGGAAAAAUGGGACGCCCCCAAAGGCUGGCAUGGACGCUGGGACAGACUCAAGGAUGUCCCUGACCAACUUCGGGGCAGGCCAGGAGUGUCAGACUCAGGGGGGAUGCAAACUUCACCUCCAAGUUCGUGGACCGACCGCCAGUUUGUGGUGAUUGCCUCUGAGAAGGUUGCAUGGCUGGUGUCAUUGUCCACCUAAAAUUGUGUUUUCAAGCAGAUUCUGACUGACGUGUUGUUCGUUGUGAACGCGGACAUGGUCACCAUCAAAGGUU
This is a long non-coding RNA of Scylla paramamosain (green mud crab), 469 nucleotides long. RefSeq lists it as uncharacterized. The transcript has 3 exons. The record is from RefSeq and is a predicted model, not a curated record. NCBI's taxonomy places the organism in Eukaryota, Metazoa, Arthropoda, Malacostraca, Decapoda, Portunidae.